GCAAGCCUGUCAAAUUGGAUCCACAAUCAAGCAACUUGGCUUUUGGGCCCGCUUAUGGAUUAGCCCAUUCCCGCACUUGGGCCCGCUCCGUUCUUGCACAUGGAUCACCGCCCAAGCUCAAUUCACGCUCAUGGCCAUUCCCACUUCACGCAAAUGAACCAACACCAAGCGCCCAACACUCACUUCAAUUCCACCAAACACACGGACAGCCCAUCCACUUCAACGUGGACCAAGCUCAAGUACAUGACAAGCAC
RNAcentral lists this long non-coding RNA (254 nucleotides) under Manihot esculenta (cassava). Its description in RNAcentral is "long non-coding RNA (MESC_LNC004120)". Lineage: Eukaryota; Viridiplantae; Streptophyta; Magnoliopsida; Malpighiales; Euphorbiaceae. The record is from RNAcentral.